Molecule: ribosomal RNA, 521 nt
Filed under: uncultured Burkholderia sp.
Lineage: Bacteria; Pseudomonadati; Pseudomonadota; Betaproteobacteria; Burkholderiales; Burkholderiaceae
Description: bacterial SSU rRNA
Rfam family: Bacterial small subunit ribosomal RNA
Source: RNAcentral
UAGAGUUUGAUCCUGGCUCAGAUUGAACGCUGGCGGCAUGCCUUACACAUGCAAGUCGGACGGCAGCGCGGGAGCAAUCCUGGCGGCGAGUGGCGAACGGGUGAGUAAUACAUCGGAACAUGUCCAGUAGUGGGGGAUAGCCCGGCGAAAGCCGGAUUAAUACCGCAUACGAUCUAUGGAUGAAAGCGGGGGAUCGCAAGACCUCGCGCUAUUGGGGUGGCCGAUGGCGGAUUAGCUAGUUGGUGGGGUAAAGGCCUACCAAGGCGACGAUCCGUAGCUGGUCUGAGAGGACGACCAGCCACACUGGGACUGAGACACGGCCCAGACUCCUACGGGAGGCAGCAGUGGGGAAUUUUGGACAAUGGGGGCAACCCUGAUCCAGCAAUGCCGCGUGUGUGAAGAAGGCCUUCGGGUUGUAAAGCACUUUUGUCCGGGAAGAAAUCCCCUGCCCUAAUACGGCGGGGGGAUGACGGUACCGGAAGAAUAAGCACCGGCUAACUACGUGCCAGCAGCCGCGGUAA